Molecule: transfer RNA, 77 nt
Filed under: Actinobacteria bacterium ADurb.Bin346
Lineage: Bacteria; Bacillati; Actinomycetota
Description: tRNA-Val
Rfam family: tRNA
About the family: Transfer RNA (tRNA) molecules are approximately 80 nucleotides in length. Their secondary structure includes four short double-helical elements and three loops (D, anti-codon, and T loops).
Source: RNAcentral
GGGCGGUUAGCUCAGCUGGUCAGAGCGCUGCGUUCACAUCGCAGAGGCCACUGGUUCAAAUCCAGUAUCGCCCACCA